CCUACGGGAGGCAGCAGUGAGGAAUAUUGGUCAAUGGGCGCGAGCCUGAACCAGCCAAGUAGCGUGAAGGAUGACUGCCCUACGGGUUGUAAACUUCUUUUAUAAAGGAAUAAAGUGAGGCACGUGUGCCUUUUUGUAUGUACUUUAUGAAUAAGGAUCGGCUAACUCCGUGCCAGCAGCCGCGGUAAUACGGAGGAUCCGAGCGUUAUCCGGAUUUAUUGGGUUUAAAGGGAGCGUAGAUGGGUUGAUAAGUCAGUGGUGAAAGUUUGCGGCUCAACCUUAGAAUUGCCAUUGAUACUGGCCGUCUUGAGAAUAGUUGAGGUAGGCGGAAUGCGUGGUGUAGCGGUGAAAUGCUUAGAUAUCACGAAGAACUCCGAUUGCGAAGACAGCUUACUAAACUGCCACUGACAUUGAUGCACGAAAGUGUGGGUAUCAAACAGGAUUAGAUACCCGGGUAGUC
Molecule: ribosomal RNA, 460 nt
Filed under: uncultured bacterium
Lineage: Bacteria
Description: partial 16S ribosomal RNA
Rfam family: Bacterial small subunit ribosomal RNA
Source: RNAcentral